Molecule: ribosomal RNA, 497 nt
Filed under: uncultured bacterium
Lineage: Bacteria
Description: partial 16S ribosomal RNA
Rfam family: Bacterial small subunit ribosomal RNA
Source: RNAcentral
GAUGAACGCUGGCGGCGUGCCUAAUACAUGCAAGUCGAGCGAACAGACGAGGAGCUUGCUCCUCUGACGUUAGCGGCGGACGGGUGAGUAACACGUGGAUAUCCUACCUAUAAGACUGGGAUAACUUCGGGAAACCGGAGCUAAUACCGGAUAAUAUAUUGAACCGCAUGGUUCAAUAGUGAAAGACGGUUUUGCUGUCACUUAUAGAUGGAUCCGCGCCGCAUUAGCUAGUUGGUAAGGUAACGGCUUACCAAGGCAACGAUGCGUAGCCGACCUGAGAGGGUGAUCGGCCACACUGGAACUGAGACACGGUCCAGACUCCUACGGGAGGCAGCAGUAGGGAAUCUUCCGCAAUGGGCGAAAGCCUGACGGAGCAACGCCGCGUGAGUGAUGAAGGUCUUCGGAUCGUAAAACUCUGUUAUUAGGGAAGAACAAAUGUGUAAGUAGCUAUGCACGUCUUGACGGUACCUAAUCAGAAAGCCACGGCUAACUACGUG